RNAcentral lists this unclassified non-coding RNA (263 nucleotides) under Hevea brasiliensis (rubber tree). The record is from RNAcentral. Lineage: Eukaryota; Viridiplantae; Streptophyta; Magnoliopsida; Malpighiales; Euphorbiaceae.
ACCAAACUAAACUAAACCAAAAUAAAAAUAAAAUCAAUCAAUUUGAAUCAAAUCAAAUCAAAAUAAAAAAGUUCAAUUCCAUUUAUUUUUUAUCAAUUCGAUUUCAUUUUUACAAUGUAUAAUUUAAUUUUUAUGAUUUGAUUGAUUCAAUUUAUUCAGAAUACUCACGCCAGUCAAGUGCGUAGAAAUAAUUACUGUGACAUAAAACCCUUUUUGAUCAUGACAGUCGCCCACUCCCUAUUUUGACCCAAUAAUAAUAAUAA